UCCCCACCCUGAACAUGCCCGAUCUGGUCUGGUCUCGGAAGCUAAGCAGGGUCGGGCCAGGUUCAUACUUGGAAGGGAGCUGGCUAGCCUUCCUGUGCUUGCUAGGCCUUCCUGGCUCGCAGGUGGAC
Molecule: ribosomal RNA, 128 nt
Filed under: Pogona vitticeps (central bearded dragon)
Lineage: Eukaryota; Metazoa; Chordata; Lepidosauria; Squamata; Agamidae
Source: RNAcentral